Long non-coding RNA from Tribolium madens (black flour beetle), 507 nucleotides. RefSeq lists it as uncharacterized. The record is from RefSeq and is a predicted model, not a curated record. The transcript is spliced from 3 exons. Lineage: Eukaryota; Metazoa; Arthropoda; Insecta; Coleoptera; Tenebrionidae.
GGGCGGGAAUUAGUCGCCGACGUAUAAUAAUACGAGUAGGACCGUUCCUUUUUGAAGACAUACAUUUUCGGAUCCAAAGACGACUCGAUUACAAAUUAUCUUGAUCGCUCGAUACUAUUUUUCGCAUUUUAUAAGGGGUGUAACUUAUUGACCCGACAGAGAAGGUAACAAAAGCGAAUUGACAAAAAAUCUGUGGUAAAUUAUUUCUUGACCGAGGAAUGCAGUGACAUAUUUCCCGACCUCCAAAAGAUCCAGCAUAUUGCGUAGUAUAGUGAUUGUGAAGGAAUGGCAAUAUUAUCCCUGAUACUUACAUCGUUUUCUAAUCUCGAGUAAUUUACUAAAUACGUUUUUAUAAACAGACCUCGAGAGUUUUUCUGAGAAAACCCAUAAAACUUGGAAUAUUUACGAGGGUCAAGUCAAGCCACCCCCGAGUGGUCGAUGAUCGAAACCAGAUGUCUUUAAGACUGUGAGAACCAAUUCUCUAAAAAUCGUCGAGUUAGAAUUAGU